Molecule: ribosomal RNA, 466 nt
Filed under: uncultured bacterium
Lineage: Bacteria
Description: partial 16S ribosomal RNA
Rfam family: Bacterial small subunit ribosomal RNA
Source: RNAcentral
GACGAACGCUGGCGGCGUGCUUAACACAUGCAAGUCGAACGGAAAGGCCCUGCUUUUGUGGGGUGCUCGAGUGGCGAACGGGUGAGUAACACGUGAGUAACCUGCCCUUGACUUUGGGAUAACUUCAGGAAACUGGGGCUAAUACCGGAUAGGAGCUCCUGCUGCAUGGUGGGGGUUGGAAAGUUUCGGCGGUUGGGGAUGGACUCGCGGCUUAUCAGCUUGUUGGUGGGGUAGUGGCUUACCAAGGUUUUGACGGGUAGCCGGCCUGAGAGGGUGACCGGCCACAGGGGGACUGAGAUACGGCCAAGACUCCUCCGGGAGGCAACAGUGGGGAAUAGUAAACAAGGGGCGGAGGCCUGAGGCAGAAACGCCGGGGGCGGGAGGACGGCCUUCGGGUUGUAAACCGCUUUCGCCGGUGACGAAGCGUGAGUGACGGUAAUGGGUAAAGAGGCACCGGCUAACUGCG